RNAcentral lists this ribosomal RNA (497 nucleotides) under uncultured bacterium. RNAcentral's name for it is "partial 16S ribosomal RNA". It matches the Rfam family "Bacterial small subunit ribosomal RNA", at positions 28 to 507 of the family's 1533-position model. The record is from RNAcentral.
GAUGAACGCUGGCGGCGUGCCUAAUACAUGCAAGUCGAGCGAACAGACCCGGAUCUUUCUCCUCUUACGUUAGCGGCGGGCGGGUGACUCAAACGUGGGUUACCCUCCUUUCUGACUUGGAUAACUUCGGGUAACCCUAGCAAAUACCGGAUAAUUUAUUUACCCGCAUGGUUUUAUAGAUAAUAACCGUUUUUCUCUCAAUUCUCGAUUUAUCCGCGCCGCAUUAGCUAGUUGGUAAGGUAACGGCUUACCAAGGCAACGAUGCGUAGCCGACCUGAGAGGGUGAUCGGCCACACUGGAACUGAGACACGGUCCAGACGACUACGGGAGGCAGCAGUAGGGAAUCUUCCGCAAUGGGCGAAAGCCUGACGGAGCAACGCCGCGUGAGUGAUGAAGGUCUUCGGAUCGUAAAACUCUGUUAUUAGGGAAGAACAAAUGUGUAAGUAACUAUGCACGUCUUGACGGUACCUAAUCAGAAAGCCACGGCUAACUACGUG